This is a long non-coding RNA of Branchiostoma floridae (Florida lancelet), 2060 nucleotides long. RefSeq lists it as uncharacterized. The record is from RefSeq and is a predicted model, not a curated record. Lineage: Eukaryota; Metazoa; Chordata; Leptocardii; Amphioxiformes; Branchiostomatidae. The transcript has 2 exons.
AGGACGGCGUUAGGCAGUCGUUGCUGUGGUAGGUUCGUGUCCUUUCAUCCUAGGAUGACCUGCGUUAUUAGCAGUGCUGUGUCGAGGACAACGCCAAGCGCGCACGGCCCGCCGUGAUCAGCGUGGCUUGGACAGGCGCGAUGCGUCAUGGGAAUGAGCGGUCCAAGAUCCAAGAUGGCGGCCUCCACAGAUUAUCGGAUGACGAGAUUACACACGAACACGCCUGGAAACGUUCGAAACGUACCUUUCCAAACGUAUUCAUUCCACGUAACCCGUUCUAAAGGUGCUGAUGACACUCAACCCAGGAAGGCCAUCAGUGCACAUGAGAUGACAGCAGAUGAGAAGCUGAUUAUGCAAUGGAUUACCUGCUUCUACCUGCAGAUGGCAGAGUUAUAAUGAACACUAACCAAGUCCCAAUUUCUUUAAUAUGCAUAAACAAUGAGUCUGUAAAAAGAUAAACAGCUAGUAGAACUAGAAGCGUGCCUUUCUGUGAUGCACUGUGGUACUAUGGCAUUUAUUAUGACUCAGAUUUAGAUGCUUUGAAAUCAUAGCUCUUUGGACUGUAGAUGUAAUUGUCAUGUUGAAGCUAAUAUGUAGCAUGCAGUAUCCUAGAUGCAAUGUUGUGAGGAGCCAUUUUGCAUAUCCAUAUCUACAAAUAUCUUGCAAUUAUAUACUUCAUGACUAUAUGUAUGCUGUCAGUAACUGUAAGUCCCUGAGGCAUGACUGAUUGACCAAGGAAGCAGAGCACUUUCUGAUGUUCGAAUUCUGUGUUUUAUCAAAACUCCAUUGAACAGGUAGCUAUGGAGAGGGGUGAAUUAAUUGUGUGUUUAAGAUACUCUCCAGGAAAUGUUUAGGUAUAUAAUGUUGAGCAAUUCCUGAUGAAAUGAUUCCUUAAAAAAAAACAGUACAUUUCAUACUUUAAGUGUAGAGCUUUUCACCCUACAUUGUACACACAUGUAUGAGAUCAUUGUCAAUGUGAUGGGAUCUGGUGUGUAUCCUGCUAUGCAAUGCUGACUUAAAGUGUUAAUGACACCAAUGAUAGCAAUGUAGCAACAUUUAGCAAUGUAGCAACAUUUUGGUGAUUGUAAUCCAUUGAGAUAGAAUUACUAAUUGAAAAUAGAACUUUGCACUAAAAUAAACCCUCCUGGUGUUAUUGAAUAUAAAACCAAUUGAAGAUCAUACUUCCAGCUCUUGUUUCCAGGUUGUCACCAGGUAAUUGAAUUAAACAUUGAUUGUAGCUGCACUGGCUGCGGACCGUCAGUUGUGGAUGAAACUUGUGAUCAAGUGCUCUGCCACCGACUGAUGAUGAGGAUGAUGAUGUUGAGGACUACAAUGAUUCUUAACUUGCCACGGUGGCUUGCGAAAAAAUAAUUUUGGGAAGCAAACUAAGCAAAUAUUUUUGUAUCUUGCAAGUAUGUGUUAUCUCCUUAAACAAAGCACAGUGUGCUCAUCAACAGUACUUUUUAGCAACACUCGAUGUCUUGUUCUGAACCGGCCGCAGUGUUCAAUGAGAUGUCAUUGAAGUAAUAAUCAAUGCUCAAUUCAAUUACCUGGUGGCAGGAAACAAGAGCUGAAGUAUGAUCUUUGACAGGGUUUGAUGUUCUAUAACAUCAUACGACUAGUCGACUGUAACUUUGGUCUGUGUUCAUACAAGAAUACUAUUACCGGCAAAGUUAGUAAUAAAAUUAUGUAUUUUGGUGUCAUAGACACUUAAAGUAUGUCACGAUGAUGGGGGUAAGAAGAACAAAAUUGAUUUUAUUUUUAAAAGCUUUUAUUUUGCUUUCAUUUCAUAUUGAAAUGAAUAAUCUGAAUCAUUAUUGCUUUACCUGUCCAUGUCUGUACGAUACAUAACGGUAAUUCAUGAAUUUUCCUUAUUUGCAUGCAUAUACAAAAAUAAGUGCCAACACAGGACAACAUCCAGUUGUGCAUUGUAUAUAAAGGUAUGAACAAGUUGGCCUCUAUUUUGCAGGUAGACAGUUAUUGAUCUAGAUCCUUUUUGUCAAGCUUUAUUUUGCUGCAGUCAAAUCGUCAAGAAAUAAACAGUGGUCUUUGGGAAAAAA